CAGAGGGGGAUAACGUUUGGAAACGAACGCUAAUACCGCAUGAUAUUAUUGGGCAGCAUUGCCUGAUAAUCAAAGGAGCAAUCCGCUGAAAGAUGGGCUCGCGUCCGAUUAGGUAGUUGGCGGGGUAACGGCCCACCAAGCCGACGAUCGGUAGCCGGACUGAGAGGUUGAACGGCCACAUUGGGACUGAGACACGGCCCAGACUCCUACGGGAGGCAGCAGUGAGGGAUAUUGGUCAAUGGGAGAAACCCUGAACCAGCAACGCCGCGUGAGGGAAGACGGUUUUCGGAUUGUAAACCUCUGUCCUCUGUGAAGAUGAUGACGGUAGCAGAGGAGGAAGCUCCGGCUAACUACGUGCCAGCAGCCGCGGUAAUACGUAGGGAGCAAGCGUUGUCCGGAUUUACUGGGUGUAAAGGGUGCGUAGGCGGCUUUGCAAGUCAGAAGUGAAAUCUAUGGGCUUAACCCAUAAACUGCUUUUGAAACUGCAGGGCUUGAGUGAAGUAGAGGUAGGCGGAAUUCCCGGUGUAGCGGUGAAAUGCGUAGAGAUCGGGAGGAACACCAGUGGCGAAGGCGGCCUACUGGGCUUUAACUGACGCUGAGGCACGAAAGCGUGGGUAGCAAACAGGAUUAGAUACCCUGGUAGUCCACGCUGUAAACGAUGAAACGAGGUGUGGGUGGACUGACCCCAUCCGUGCCGGAGU
RNAcentral lists this ribosomal RNA (701 nucleotides) under uncultured bacterium. RNAcentral describes it as "bacterial SSU rRNA". It matches the Rfam family "Bacterial small subunit ribosomal RNA", at positions 134 to 852 of the family's 1533-position model. The record is from RNAcentral.